AGGCUGCAGUGAAUUCUACAAAGAGGCUAUGGGAAAGAAACCUGGAAAGUACCCUUGGCUGUGUACAUUUGAGUAAAGAGAGCACUAUAAAAUCAAAAACCAAUGAAAUGGUUUCCAGAACACAGAACUAUUAAGCUUAAGAAAAGGACAGAAGGAACUGAAGAGAGAGGAACUGUUUUGGAGCAUCACACUUCCACCUCAGAAGAAAUAAGGAAGGAAGGAGGAGGGUGUUCCCACGGCUCUUCAACCAGGCCGGCUCUUCAGCCUACAUCCCCAUCUCAUCAAGUAAAAGGGAUUUUUCAACUGGACCAACCAGAUGGUUUAACAGUGCACUCCCACACCAUUCAACUACGCAAGGGAGAUACACUUAACAUAUGCAGUCGUAUAACACCUACUAACAUUUUCAAACAUUAAACCUUUAAAAAAGAGUUCUAAAGAAAUAGAAGCUUGAAGUAUCAUCUCUCAAGUAUAUAGACACUACUUCAUGGUGUGGUAAUAUAUGCAUAUAGAAGCUAGUAAACACCUCCAGGAGAUGCAAAAGGAAUUAGAACUGCCACAAGGUGCAAGCAAAACCUUGAGGUAAUCAAUCUGCAUCCCAUUUUGGAUGAGAAUAUUUGCAACUUUGAAGGUUAUUUUAAGGACAGCAGCAGAAGAAUUAUGGCAGCUUCUUUAAAAUAUGAAGACUUCGAAGUUAUUUAUCCAAACCAACCUGAUCAUUUCUUAAGAGUGAAUAUACCUUGGAAGACGUGUCCUGCCUUUAGUAGCGUCACAAUGGAUUACAUCCUCUAUAAAGCAGUCUGGGGUGAGAAAAUCGAAUUUGGACACCGUUGAGGAGACUAUUGCAGUCAUCCAAGCUCAAGAUGGUGGAGCUUCAUCCUUGAGAAUAACCAAUGGGGAUAGAUUUAAGAGACACUUAGAGUCUGCAGCCAACAGGGCUGAAUGAGCAUUCUGUUUUUCCUCUUCUAAUCCUUCACCCAUCUGAGCUAAAGUCUAGACCUAAGGAGGCUACUAAUUCAGGGAUCGAGUAAUCUGCCAAGCAAGAGUUUAUUCAAGCACAGUUUGAAAUAAAGGUUUCAAAUGCAUAGCCUGUCGAUACUUUGGAAGGAUUCUCAUCAUAACGAGUAUGCAAUUUGCUAUAAAGAAGAAUGCCCAUUACGGACUAAAUGUUUAUGUCCUCCUAAAAUUCAUAUGUUGAAGGCCUAACUCUCAAUGUGAUGAUUAUGUGGAGAUGGUGCCUUUGGGAGGUAACUGGGCUUAGAUGUGGGCGUGAGGGUGGGGCCUCAUGGUGAAAUUUGUGCCCUUGUAAGAAAAACACACCACAGGUUUUCAUUCUUCCUCUGCCACAUGAGGCCACAGUAAGAAUGUGACCAUCUGCUAGCCAGGAGGAAAGUCCUCACUGGAACCCGCCCAUAAUAACACUCCAGUCUGGGGCUUUUCAGCCUCCAGAACCAUGAGAAAUAAAUUUCUAGUGUUUAAGUCA
RNAcentral lists this long non-coding RNA (1480 nucleotides) under Homo sapiens (human). RNAcentral describes it as "long intergenic non-protein coding RNA 343". Lineage: Eukaryota; Metazoa; Chordata; Mammalia; Primates; Hominidae. The record is from RNAcentral.